UUCUGAUUGGUUACUUGAUGAUGAGGCUGAAUACAGCAACAGUAAUUGGCUUAAAUGAGAUAAAGAAUUACAGACUUGUCUCAUCUAAGGAUAAGACAUCGAAUGCCGGAAAAUUACCUACUAGUAUAUGUAUUAUAAUUUCGUUAACUGUCAUUAAUGCAUGUUCGUUUUAAUAUGCAUAUAUUAUACACUGAAAUUCAAUAUUGAAUUAUCAAUUAUUAAUGCGUGUUUAUUUGCUUCGUUAAUCUGCAAUAUGGGUGUAUAACCAAUAACGAACACUCUUAAAGUCAUCCAAUUCAUAUAAAUCAAUAUCUAAAAAUAUCACAUUUUCAAUACCAAAUCAACAACCACAUGCACACAUAGGACAUGUACCUUAAAAUAGGAUUGAGCGAACAGUACUCAGCAUUUUAAAAAGCUCAAACGUGUAAAUAGCUGUUUUCGCAAAACUGUAU
RNAcentral lists this long non-coding RNA (452 nucleotides) under Mytilus galloprovincialis (Mediterranean mussel). Lineage: Eukaryota; Metazoa; Mollusca; Bivalvia; Mytilida; Mytilidae. The record is from RNAcentral.